UUUGAAGAUACCAAGUUCCCAACGUCAGUUUAUCGAAAGAAAGCCUUCAGCCCUAACCACCAUCUGGCCGUUUCAUGAGAGCUGAGGGGCUCCUUUCUUGGGACGACCGUGAGUACAGAUGGACUCGCACGAGGCUGACCUACUCAGCAUUUAGCUAUUUCCCCAACAACCCUGAAUGUUCAUUGCAAGGACUGAAGCUGAAGCUCCAAUACUUUGGCCACCUGAUGCAAAGAACUGACUCAUUUGAAAAGACCCUGAUGCUGGGAAAGACUGAAGGCGGAGGAGAAGGGGACAACAGAGGAUGAGAUGGUUGGAUGGCAUCACCGGCUCAAUGGACAUGAGUUUGAGCAAGCUCUGGGAGACGGUGGUGGACAGGGAAGCCUGGUGCGCUACAGCCCAUGGGGUCACAGAGAGCCGGACACAAAUGAGCAGCUGAACAGCAGCAGCAGAGAAAGGGCAUCUCUUCAUCUCCAGGCUACGGCUCCCUUCCUGAUGGUCUCCAUGUAAACAAUUCUUGUGCCCUGACUUUUAACCCGUGUCAUUAAAGACGUUUAGUUAAAAAGGAGGCUUCAUAGACUUACCCCACCUAGAUGUGCCCAUGAGCACUGGUUAAUUCUGCCCCGUGG
Molecule: long non-coding RNA, 626 nt
Organism: Bos indicus x Bos taurus (hybrid cattle)
Lineage: Eukaryota; Metazoa; Chordata; Mammalia; Artiodactyla; Bovidae
Source: Ensembl